UACGGAGGGUGCGAGCGUUGUCCGGAAUCACUGGGCGUAAAGGGCGCGUAGGCGGCCUGGUAAGUAGGGGGUGAAAUCCUGCGGCUUAACCGCAGGGCUGCCUUCUAAACUGUCAGGCUCGAGCACGGUAGAGGCAGAUGGAAUUCCCGGUGUAGCGGUGGAAUGCGUAGAGAUCGGGAAGAACACCAGUGGCGAAGGCGGUCUGCUGGGCCGUUGCUGACGCUGAGGCGCGACAGCGUGGGGAGCAAACAGG
This 253-nucleotide ribosomal RNA is filed under the name uncultured bacterium. RNAcentral describes it as "partial 16S ribosomal RNA". It matches the Rfam family "Bacterial small subunit ribosomal RNA", at positions 524 to 776 of the family's 1533-position model. The record is from RNAcentral.